Molecule: long non-coding RNA, 630 nt
Filed under: Gallus gallus (chicken)
Lineage: Eukaryota; Metazoa; Chordata; Aves; Galliformes; Phasianidae
Description: long non-coding RNA NONGGAT008765
Source: RNAcentral
CUCAUAAGCAAGGUGGAUGGAUGCAUAUAAAGCAAGAACCAUCAGACACUGGUUGACAUGCUUUCCCUCAGCCCUUGAAGAACACUCAAAUAAUAGUAAAUUUCAAAUCACAAUGCCAGUCUGCACUGUUGUGAAAGACCUGUGCAUAAACAUUCAUAGGGAUGAAUUCAGAGGUGAUGGGCAACACAGACUGAGGAAAAGGAGCCCAGAGAGUAGGUAAUAAUAAAGAAAAUCAUGAAAAGAGGAAACAGAGGAGGAAAAGCAGCUAAGUGAAAGGUAUGUAACACCUAAUCUAAAGCACAUUUCUCUCUCCUUCAGCGCACACAAAACUUUUACCGGUUCCUUUUUAUGGUUAUUGAAUGCCCACAUUACCUGAAAGUGGAAUUUAUUGUGCUGAGUGUUAAACUCUAAGUUUUACAAAUAAGCUUCCGUACAAAAAUAUUUAUUAUCUGUAACGUACAUCAUCAGCUCUUACACUCCCACUGCGUUCAUCCAUUGUCUCCCAAUACAGUUACCGUGAACGUAUGUCAGAAUAUACGUCAGCCUCAGAAAUACACACUUGUACUGCAGUGACUAUUUUCUAUUCCUUAUUUCUUUGCCUCUAUUUUAAACAACGGAUGCGUACGUUUG